Pelobates cultripes (western spadefoot toad) is the source of this 208-nucleotide non-coding RNA. The record is from the annotation of a GenBank genome assembly. Lineage: Eukaryota; Metazoa; Chordata; Amphibia; Anura; Pelobatidae.
GUAAUUUUUGACAGUUGCAGGAGAGGAAUCAUGGGUGGUGGGGAAUAAAAACCACAGAAGAGGUGCAGCCCUGGAAAAGUCUUGGAGGCGAGCAUUAGAGGUGGGAGUACGGACAGAAGAUAAACGUAAGUCUUUGGCAAGGCGUAGGGGCCUUGACGGGACAUACUUGUGUAUUAGGGAAGAUAGGUAGGUUGGAGCAGCAUUAUGU